This 484-nucleotide ribosomal RNA is filed under the name uncultured bacterium. Its description in RNAcentral is "partial 16S ribosomal RNA". It matches the Rfam family "Bacterial small subunit ribosomal RNA", at positions 30 to 507 of the family's 1533-position model. The record is from RNAcentral.
AUUGAACGCUGGCGGCAGGCCUAACACAUGCAAGUCGAGCGGCUGAAGGGAGAUUGCUCCUGGAUUCAGCGGCGGACGGGCGAGCAAUGCAUAGGAAUCUGCGUGGCAGUGGGGGAUAACGUCAGGAAACGGGCGCUAAUACCGCAUACGUCCUGAGGGCGUAAGUGGGGGAUCUUCGGACCUCACGCUAUCAGAUGAGCCUAGGUCGGAUUAGCUAGUUGGUGGGGUAAAGGCCUACCAAGGCGACGAUCCGUAACUGGUCUGAGAGGAUGAUCAGUCACACUGGAACUGAGACACGGUCCAGACUCCUACGGGAGGCAGCAGUGGGGAAUAUUGGACAAAGGGCGAAAGCCUGAUCCAGCCAUGCCGCGUGUGUGAAGAAGGUCUUCGGAUUGUAAAGCACUUUAGGUGGGGAAGAAGAGCAGUAAGUUAAUACCUUGCUGUUUUGACGGUACCAACAGAAUAAGCACCGGCUAACUUCGUG